Long non-coding RNA from Hypomesus transpacificus, 750 nucleotides. RefSeq lists it as uncharacterized. NCBI's taxonomy places the organism in Eukaryota, Metazoa, Chordata, Actinopteri, Osmeriformes, Osmeridae. The record is from RefSeq and is a predicted model, not a curated record. The transcript is spliced from 4 exons.
CAUGGUGCCUUGCCUUGCUGGCGUUCUUGUUUCCGCUGCAGGUACCGUGCACGAGCGUCGCUUACAGAGCCCUCAUCAUUACGCCUCUCCAGUUUUUUCAAGCAGCUUCUUUGGUCUCCCAUUUGGCCACCUCCUCCUCAGUCACCUCCUCUCUGGCAACACUGCUCAGCUCGUACACAUCAACCUCGUGCAGUUUGGGCAGCAGGUCUUUCACCCAAUCAUAGCGGAUGGGGCACACCGUUCUAACGUAGAUUCGCGAAGUGACCAAAACAUCAUGGAAGAUGAUCCAGUCGAGCAUCUCCUCUUGGUCAAAGAGCUGGGACACAAGAUGAUGCAGGAUGAAUGUGGACCAUGGAUCCAUGACCAUCCAUGGUGCAGAAGACCUUCCCAACAGAUCUAGGACGAGGGAAAUAUUUGAAAAGGUUCCACAGAGGAAUAUGGAUUGUUACCAUGGCUAUGCAGUCGUGUAAUUACAUUUCUAUGGUUUCAAGAUACGAAUCCUACUCAUAAACUACAAGUUCCUAUGUGAAUCCACGUUGGAAUACACUCAAGAAUACCUGUUGGAGUCGGAGCAGGAUCUCCUUGAGCUGGGUCUCUAUACUGAAGGACGACUUGAGCGCCCUCCAGUGGAUCCAGUUAUCUUUGCACCAGGCUGAGGGGUUUUCACUGCAACAUAAGACGAAGAUUCAAAAAGAUAAUUCACAAAGGAUGACAUGACAAAUUACAUAAUAAAAAUUACAUUAUUAAGAC